This is a long non-coding RNA of Prunus persica (peach), 1715 nucleotides long. RefSeq lists it as uncharacterized. The transcript is spliced from 8 exons. The record is from RefSeq and is a predicted model, not a curated record. NCBI's taxonomy places the organism in Eukaryota, Viridiplantae, Streptophyta, Magnoliopsida, Rosales, Rosaceae.
AAUGAUAAAACAUUCAAAAUUCUGAAAAUAUCUUUGAUACACUAAAAUUUUAAUACGCACCGAUUAUAAUUAAAGUAGGGUAUAAUUGUAAAAGAACAAUUAUGAAGAACUUUAAAAAAAUUAAAAAGAAAAGAAAAAAGUUUAACAGACCCCACUCCAGAGCAGUUGCUCUUCCUAUCAGUUUCUUCUGGCACGUUCUAUUCAAAAAAGAUGAAAGCAAAACUGAAACCAUCCAAAACCCACCAUGGCCCUCAAACUUGGAAACGCAUUUCCUCCCCUCCCAUGUUUCGCAGAGCAAGAAUCCUCAUCUACUCACGGCAUAAAAAGGGAGGAAGAUUGAAGGAAAAAGAGCUGAAGCAAUCAAUAUUGGAACCCCCAGUGUGCUCAUCAAUCUGUAUUUGUAAGAUGUUGCAGUGUAUGAGAGAGGCAAGAAAAUUAUGGUAUGAUGCUGUUAAAACCGAUCGACGUUUACUCAGAUUCUAAAUCAGACGGUCCAUCUCGCAUCACCAACCUUCAGUCUCAGACCUUUUCAACAGAACCGAAGUUUGAGAAAACUGUUGGAAUCAGUGGAGUGGGGAAUAAAUUUUAAAACUCAACGAUGUGUGGUCCAGUCAUUAGUUCAAGAACUCAAAGUCCAGAAUUGCUUCAAUGACUCCGGUUCCAUGCUUUCUGUUUAUUAAUCUUCAAUAUGCAGAGCAUCAAUUCUUUAAAUGAUGGAAUCGCCUCUCACCUCGCACUCUCUGACGCAUAAUGGUUCCAGAAGACGCAGAGGAAACUAUAUUUAAGGAAUUAAAAGCAAAAUGAGGAUCAGAGUUGGAGGGAGUUCAAGAAUAACAUGAAAGCAAAACAAAAGGGAAGCAUCAUGGUGAGUGAUAAGCACUGAUCAUGACUUCUUCGAGCAGUGAACCAAAGUCGCUCUUCUUCAUGGACAAGUCCAAAGGUACCUUAUUCAUACCUUUGUUUUUUUGUUUUUUGUUUUGAGUGACAUAUUUGUCUUUUUUCGCUUUCAGUAAUUGAAUUGCUUCUGUAUAACAAAUCCCAAUUUCAGGUCAGCUGCCGGAAUCUGGCAUUUUUUAAUGGGUUUUAUUUUUCGUUGCUAGAAUGCAUUUUAUUGUGGUUUUAGUGUUUAGGGUGAUAGAGUGGUGGAGAUGCAGAUGGAGGUGUGGGUAUUUUGGCCAUGUUAAAAGGAAAUUGCAAGUUUAUGGUUUGGUUUAAACAAUUGUGUGGCUGUGUGUUCGCUUUAGGUGAAGGUGUCGUGAUGCAAAAGAAACUAUGUUUCUAGCUUUAAAUUCUGUGUUUCUAUGUGCUAAUUGGGCGAUUUCUCAAUGUUUCUAUUAGGUUAUUUCAUAUGGAUGCUAGAAGGGACAUAAUUUUCUGUGGUGGCAAUUACACUAUCCAAUUUGCUGCAUGAGGCUACCAAAGAAGAUAGUAGCAGGAGGGCAUAAAAGUGCUGCCGGAGGAGGUUUAUGUACAAGCAGUAGCUAAAAGGAUUUUAAUUGUCAUGAAUUUUUUGUUUAUUCUUUUCCUUUUUCAAUGGUUGCAAUACUAGCUUCUUUUUUUUUUUUUUUGUUGGUCAACAUUGCAAUACUAGCUUCAAUUACUAUAUUUUGGUGUAACGAGUUUUGUUUUAAAUAAAGACUUAUUCAAUUACAUCUGUUCCAAAUUCGGUUCAAUGGUUAACAAUGAUAAUUGUUAUCAAUAAAUACAAAGAGGAA